RNAcentral lists this ribosomal RNA (499 nucleotides) under uncultured bacterium. Its description in RNAcentral is "bacterial SSU rRNA". It matches the Rfam family "Bacterial small subunit ribosomal RNA", at positions 28 to 526 of the family's 1533-position model. The record is from RNAcentral.
GAUGAACGCUAGCGGCAGGCUUAACACAUGCAAGUCGAGGGGUAUAGGAAGCUUGCUUCCUAGAGACCGGCGCACGGGUGCGUAACGCGUAUGCAAUCUACCUUUUGCAGAGGGAUAGCCCAGAGAAAUUUGGAUUAAUACCUCAUAGUAUAAUUUUUUCGCAUGAAGAGAUUAUUAAGGUCACAACGGCAAAAGAUGAGCAUGCGUCCCAUUAGCUAGUUGGUAAGGUAACGGCUUACCAAGGCGACGAUGGGUAGGGGUCCUGAGAGGGAGAUCCCCCACACUGGUACUGAGACACGGACCAGACUCCUACGGGAGGCAGCAGUGAGGAAUAUUGGACAAUGGGCGCAAGCCUGAUCCAGCCAUGCCGCGUGCAGGAUGACGGUCCUAUGGAUUGUAAACUGCUUUUGUACGAGAAGAAACACUCCUACGUGUAGGAGCUUGACGGUAUCGUAAGAAUAAGGAUCGGCUAACUCCGUGCCAGCAGCCGCGGUAAAAC